Long non-coding RNA from Leucoraja erinaceus (little skate), 3287 nucleotides. RefSeq lists it as uncharacterized. The record is from RefSeq and is a predicted model, not a curated record. The transcript is spliced from 3 exons. NCBI's taxonomy places the organism in Eukaryota, Metazoa, Chordata, Chondrichthyes, Rajiformes, Rajidae.
CCAACCCAAAAAGCUUUUCCCACUGAGAGUAGGGAAGAUUCAAACAAGGGGACAUGACUUGAGAAUUAAGGGACUGAAGUUUAGGGGUAACAUGAGGGGGAACUUCUUUACUCAGAGAGUGGUGGCUGUGUGGAAUGAGCUUCCAGUGAAGGUGGUGGAGGCAGGUUCGUUUUUAUCAUUUAAAAAUAAAUUGGAUAGUUAUAUGGAUGGGAAGGGAAUGGAAUGGAGGGUUAUGGUCUGAGCGCAGGUAUGUGGGACUAGGGGAGAUUAUGUGUUCGGCACGGACUAGAAGGGUAGAGAUGGCCUGUUUCCGUGCUGUAAUUGUUAUAUGGUUAUUUAUAUGGUAAUAUGAAACUGAAGUCACACCUUAUGAAACUGAAUUCACACUUCAAAUGCUAAAUGUUGCUUGGCAAUAUAUUCAACAUUUGGUCCUACUUGUCUAAACAGGACACUGGUCACUGACUCACCAGCAGGCGUGUGCUGUGUUCCAAAUGGCAGGGGUCUCGGCUAAUAUUAAGGUCAGCGCUAGAUGAGGUUUCUGGGGCAGAAAAAGCUCCAAGGAUUCCUUAUGGAACCUGGAGAAAUAGUCUAGAACCACAAAAAUAAUUUUAAUAAUUUAGGCCUCUGAGAUGCAAUCCUGUUUGCAGCCUGUGUUCACUGAUGGACAAUGAUCUGUACUUUGUGUCCCGAACUACAUCAGAUUAAUGAGUCUCCUAACCCCAUUCCCUGACCUGCAUGGUUAAAAUCACAAUGGGCCGGGAACAAACUGAAAAUUUAAUGGAGGAUGUCUGAUCACUAUUACAACUACGAUCCUGGCCCCUGACCACGGGUCUCCGUUCAACACAAGUCCAGGAAGGUUACACUCUCACGAAUGAGGGAGGACACAUACCCUACACAUCAAGUAGGCAGGCAGAACUAUCAUUUAACAUCCCAAACAGGAUGGCACGGUGGCUCAGUGGUGGAGCUAUUGCCUUACGGCGCCAGAUACCCGGGUUCGAUCCUGACCACGGGUGCCUGCCUGUAUGGAGUUUGUACGUUCUCCCCGUAACCGCAUAGGUUUUAUCCGAGAUGGUUCAGUUUCCUCCCACACUCCAAAGAUGUGCAGGUUUGGCUAAUUGGCUUGGUGUAAAUGUAAAAUUGUCCCUAGUAUGAGUAGGAUAGCUUUAGUGUGCGGGGAUCGCUGGUCGGUGCGGACUCGGUGGGCCUAAGGGCCAGUUUCCACAUUGUAUCUCUAAACUAAAAACAAAACAAAAUCCCAUUUGAAAGCCGGCAUCACCAACAGCAAAUGCCCGAUGACUUUCUGAAUUUCUAGAGUGGGACUAGUACCUCCUGACACAGAGAGAGUGCCACCAACAUGCCAAGGCUUAGGGAAAGUAUUAUUUGAUCAUAUGAAGUGAAGAGGAUUAGCAUCUCAAAGAGGUCCCUUAAUCAUGUUGUGAAGAUUGUUGCUAGAUAUACGUUUGUUUGAAGUUGCUGGGCUCAAACUUUGAAAAUUACCUCAGUAAUUACAUCGAGUUAGAAUUGAAUAAUUGGCUUUAAUAGAUGUCAGGAACUUUUAACCGGCUUUCAGAAUGAAUCCAAUUAUUUUCUGCAUGGUUUCACACUGACGUUUCUCAUGACUGUACCGCUGUGCUCGACACUGGGUGUAAUGUUCCCACUGUUGAUGAAAUCUUUGUCUCUACUCAUGAGUCUGUCCCCCAAUGACAUCAACGGGAGAAGACUGGAGUUUGCCUUCGAAAGCUCAAAGCUUGCCCUUGCUUUUGAAAAUCGCUGCCCAAUUACGCAAACAGAUGGAAGUUUAAAGUGAACUCCGAUUAAAUUAAACUAAAACAGGAGUCAAGGAGUGUGAGAAGGCGGAUCGCAGUAUCACGUUAACACCUGGAGCUUUAACAUUUGGAGAUCUAGUUCACCCACUCAUUUCAAGCCAGUUCAGUGCAAACUGACCAAAAGUAAGAAAGAAAUAUUGGGCCAUUCUUUGGAAAGUGAACCAAAAUGUCACAAACGUGACCAGAUCACAUAAUGUAAUACAUUAAAAAUCUUCUUGUAAGAGAUUCAUCUUAUUCAUUGCUAUUUUUCUACCUAUAGAACGAUAAUGCAUGUCUGCUGAAGAUAUGCAUUGAGUUGAGGGACCAUGCCUCCUGUAGGGGCUACGUGUUAGUGGUGCAAUAUUGCAUUGGGAAACGGGUUGCGUGGGGGACCCAACGAGUCCCAGUUGGUCUAGUCUUAUAUUACUAAAACUCUGUUCUUGACCGCUUUUGGUGAUCUGUGCUGCGAUUUCCGAGAGAACGCCGCCACCUAUGGCCGUCAUUUUUGGCCACCUCGCUCAGAGCCCCCCUCUGCCACAUGUGUGCCGAGGAUUUUUCCCGUCAAUGAAAUAUGACCGAGAUAUUAAUGUUUUUACAACAUUCCCCAUUCUCUCUACUGCCCCCGCUGGCAGCAGGGGGAGGGAGGGGCUAUAAAACCCGGAAGUGUCCUGCUUCAAUCCCUUUCUGCUGGACCACGAAGUGAAAGGGUCACGGCUCUCUGAGCUGCAGCUCUACUCCAAGAUGGCGGCGAUGACGUAAUUUCCAGUGAUCGGUAAGCCGACGGCGAUGACGUCAUUUCCGGUGAUCUGUGACCCAGCAGCGAUGCUGUCAUUUCCGGUCGGAGGCGAGAUGGCGGCAAUGACGUCAUUUCCGGUCGGAGGCGAGAUGGCGCUGCCCGCAGAGUGCACGAGGUGUUGAAAAAUUCUACAGAACUGGCUGAUUUUUCAACAUCAUGUCAGGAAAUGUUAGAGGUCAAGGUGAUGUGGCUAUUGCUGUAGUAUCCCCUAGGAGAGCAGCUACAUUUCUGCCUGGUGGAAGAACUACACAUUCUCGAUUGAAGAUACCCAUCCAAGUGGCCGAGGAUACAUUGUGCAACAUCGAGAAGAACUCUAAGACGGCACAUUUCACGAGGCAAGUGAAAGUCAUUGUUUGGGAUGAACGUUCAAUGAUUAGGAGAGAAUGCCUUGAUGUGCCAAAAGCAAAAUGCCUUUGACCCAACAUACUAGCUCAACAGAAAUAUGAAGGGAAAUGUCAAAGGUUUCCUGAAGGAUGGAACAUCGCCCAAGAAUGUUGUCAUUAAUAGCGUGCUUCGUUGAAUGAUGACUUCUGAGAUAAAUUCUCAGAUUUUCCUUCUUAAAAUUUGACUGCUGACUUUCUCUAUAUUAAAAUGCCUCUUUUUAUCAACAGGAAAUAGUCAUCAAGAGGCAGUGAGCAGCAGAACACAACAUUCACAUUUUAAACUUUAAUAAACCCUUUUUGCAC